Non-coding RNA from Chrysemys picta bellii (western painted turtle), 1535 nucleotides. The record is from RefSeq and is a predicted model, not a curated record. Lineage: Eukaryota; Metazoa; Chordata; Testudines; Emydidae.
UUGUUUAGGAGGGAAAUCGGUCCCCUGAGUGAUUUCUGAAAUGGGCAGGCGCUGGGAGAGCCCUGAGACAGGGAUGCGCUGGGCUGGGGGGCCUCCCUCUGCUGGCAACAGGGCAUGGAAAGGCCCAAGAGAGGAAGGGAGGAGCAAGCAUCCCCCAUGGAGACUGAACAGCCCCAGGUUUCCCAGUCCCAGCUACUUCCCCCACUCCCCCACCCAGCAGCCCCCCCACCGCCUGCUAGUCACAUUCCCAGACCCCACUGCCAGCUCUCCCCACAGCCGGUGACCUUCUGACUCCAGCCCCACUCCUUUCCUCUGUGAAAGCCACAUCACCCAGGGCUCCCUGCCGGCCAUGUGAAUGUGAGGCAAGAAGAAUCCAUCCCGUUCUGUUGUUUGAAUAUCACUGUAUAAUCCCCUCAAAUGUCUCUUCUUUUCUCUUGAACUGUUGAAUGGUGACAUAAAAUCUCCCCAGAUGUUGGUGCUUCUCUGUUAUAUUGGCAAAUAUUUAGUUUGUGCCCCAUUUUCUCCUCAGUUCUGAAAUUCUGAUAUCAAAUUCUUAAACAUCUUCCCGCUUUUCUCCCAGGGUGUCUGACUAACAUCAGGGCUAUUAUCAUCCUGAGCGUGGCCCAGGCCUUGCCUGAGAUCAGGUGCCCCAGUGGGACGGGCACUGCACAAACCCUGACCGAGUUUGGGGCACUCGUUGUGCCAGGAACUGCACAGACCCCUACAGAGAGCCAGGACCUUCUUGUGCCGGGUGCUACAGUGACCCUGACUGAGCUCUGGGCCCCUGUUGUGCCAGGCCCUGCAUGAAAUCAGGCUCCCAUUGUGCCAGGUGCUGCAGAGACCCCGAGUGAGAUCUGGGCCCCGUUCCGCUGGGCGCAGCGGAGACCCCGAGUGAGAUCUGGGCCCCGUUCCGCUGGGCGCAGCGGAGACCCCGAGUGAGAUCUGGGCCCCGUUCUGCGGGGCGCCGCGGAGACCCCGAGUGAGAUCUGGGCCCUGUUCUGCCGGGCGCCGCAGAGACCCUGAGUGAGGGUUUCCAAUUUCCAAACCUGAUGUGAUCUCGCAGCUGGAACGAGGGGAACAGCCGUGGGUCUCAGACCUCUAUGAAAAAAGUGCUCCGGAGAGCUGCCUGCACAGGGAGUGACCUACGUCUGGAUUCCCUCUGUCUCCUAUCAGGUGACGGGAUGGUGAGUGAGAACGAGGAGACACCCCAGCAGGAAGAUGCUGAGCAAGUAGAAUCACAUGGGAUGUUAUCAGGAAGAUCCAAGGGGAAUGUGUCCGGGAGUUGUGCACUCCCAGAAAAAGAAAAAGCCUGUGAGACUCAGAACAGGCCAGAGGAAAACUUCAGUAGCCACUCAGAUCUUAUUACAUGCGAGAGAAUCAACGUAGAAGAGACAUGCUACAUAUGCCACGAGUGUGGGAAAAGCUUCAAUGGGAGCUCUGACCUUCUCACACAUCAGAGAAUCCACAGGGGAGAGAAACCCUACCUGUGCUGUGAGUGCGGGAAAAGCUUCACUCGGAGCUCACACCUUAUCAGA